GCCUGGCUGGGUCAGUCAGUAGAGCAUGAAACUCUUGAUUUCAGGGUUGUGAGUUCAAGCCCCACUUUGGGCA
This 73-nucleotide transfer RNA is filed under the name Canis lupus familiaris (dog). It matches the Rfam family "tRNA". Rfam says of the family: Transfer RNA (tRNA) molecules are approximately 80 nucleotides in length. Their secondary structure includes four short double-helical elements and three loops (D, anti-codon, and T loops). RNAcentral also lists the same sequence under 2 other names. Lineage: Eukaryota; Metazoa; Chordata; Mammalia; Carnivora; Canidae. The record is from Rfam by way of RNAcentral.